This 1207-nucleotide long non-coding RNA is filed under the name Marmota monax (woodchuck). Lineage: Eukaryota; Metazoa; Chordata; Mammalia; Rodentia; Sciuridae. The record is from RNAcentral.
AUAGACAUGAUACCUUUAUUUCAUUUGUUUUUAUGUGGUGCCAGGGAUUGAACCCAGUGCAUUAAUACAUGCUCUACCACUAAGCCACAACCCCAGCCCCCUUAGUACUGAUUUUUAAAUCAGAGACGAUUCCUGACCCUCACAACCCCAGAGAUGGAUGCUGUGGUCCUCAUUCUACUGGUGAAACAAUGAGCUCAGAGAGGAUAGAAGUGCACCGAGAUCAGGCAGCUGGUUAGUGGAGGAGUCAUAGCUCUCAGCCACCAGAGCUUACUGGUUGAACAGCUUUGGGGUACAGUCAACCAAGACCCCUUUGCUAUUUGCCCUGCUAGCUCCUACUACUCACAAUACUGGGCAAGUUGGAGCACUCAAUGCUCCCAGGUGUCAAAUGACAAAAUUACAGCAACUUAAAAAUCUCAAUUGACAUGAAGAGAGAGCCUACAGAAUGGAAGAAAAUCUUUGCCACCUGCACCUCAAAUAGAGCAUUAAUCUCCAGGAUAUAUAAAGAACUAAAAAAAAAACUUAACACCAAAAAAGAAAAACCCAAAUAAUCCAAUCAAUAAAUGGACAAAGGAACUAAACAGACACUUCCUGGAAGAAGAAAUACGGCCGGUCAACAAAUAUAUGAAAAAAUAUUCAACAUCUCUAGCAAUUAAAGAAAUGCAAAUCAAAACUACACUGAGAUUUCAUCUCACUCCAGUCAGAGUGGCAAUUAUCAAGAAUACAAGUAACAAUGUUGGCAAGGAUGUGGGGGAAAAGUUAUGCUCAUACAUUGCUGGUAGGACUGCAUAUUGGUGCAACCACUCUGGAAAGCACCGUGGAUAUUCCUCAGAAAACUUGGAUUGGAACCAACAUUUAACCCAGUUAUCCCACUCCUCAGCAUAUAUCCAAAUUUAAAAUUAGUGUCUAUAGUGACACAGCCACAUUAAUGUUUAUAGCAGCUCAGCAUUCAAAAUAGCUGAACUAUGGAACCAACCUAGGUGCCCUUCAGCAGAUGAAUGGAUAAAGAAAAUGUUGUACCUAUACACAUGGAAUAUUACUCAGCCAUAAAGAAGAAUGAAAUGAUGGCAUUUGCAAGUAAAUGGAUAGAACUGGAGACUCAUGCUAUGUAAAAUAAGCCACUCCCCCAAAAAAUGAAGUUUGGAUGUUCUCUUGUGAUAUGUGGGUGCUGACUCACAAUAGGUAGGGGGGCAGUUUUUACCGAUUGGAC